This 1482-nucleotide unclassified non-coding RNA is filed under the name Amphimedon queenslandica. RNAcentral's name for it is "uncharacterized LOC109588302, transcript variant X1". The record is from RNAcentral. Lineage: Eukaryota; Metazoa; Porifera; Demospongiae; Haplosclerida; Niphatidae.
GCAGUAUAUGCAAUAUCAGUAUCUAAGGCACUAUUAAAACCACUGGUAAUAGAGCUACAACAUAGUUUGGAUCUGAGGAACACUAGUCAGACUGGUUGCCUCAAGUUUGUCAGAGCUUCACUGAAGUCUCCCAAUGCUUACCAGUUCAGUAUAGUUGAAGGAGGAUCUUUUUAGUGUAGGGAGCAGUUAUGGUUCUAUUGAACGUGAUGAAUUCUGUGCUCUUGGUAUUGGGCAUGUUGGUAAUGGAGCACACCUAAUAGAGGUGGGAAUGGGUCGGAGAAUGAUACACAAACUCAAGGAACAAAUAAUGAUAGUGAGGAGGAGACUGAUGGAGACACACCUAAUGAUAGCAGUAAUGGAGCAGGAGAGAAUAGUAGUGGAGGAGGAACCACUCUGUCAGCAAACACUACACCGCCUCAUGAUUUAGUCCAUGAGGUAGAAUCCCAUACUACUGAAAAACCAACAGUCAGAUCAUGUACUAAGUAAUUCUGAUGGAGCUAAAGCUAUUGUAUCCAGUGAACAGUGUCUAGCAAGGAAUGAUGAUAAAUCACUACAAUCUUCUACUGAUUAUUUUCAUUCAGACAAUAAUGCACCUUCUCAUGAUACAUUGUAUUCUGGAAUGAUGUACUACGAUAAGAAAGAAGCUGGUCAUUGGAAAGCAAUGUAUUCUGUUGUUAGAGAUUUGGAAGUUCUUAAAAGGCAUUUAGAAAGCAAGCACUCAUCAAGUAUUGAAUAUGAUGAUGUUGUUGACUCAUUUAAGUUUAUUCAACAAAAUGGAACUCUAGAAUUUGACACUACACAUCGUACAGCAGGUAGGAUGGACUGUUAAUCCUAUCAGAAAUCCAAUGAAAUUGUUUGAGUCAAGAGUUAACCAGUUUCCAUUAACUCCCUCAUAUGCAACCUGCAGUAUAUCAGUGUAUGCUGAAAUUGGUGUUGCUAAAAAGCCGCUUCACUGUCCCAUUAAACUAACUGGAAUAGAUCCUUCAAUGACAAUCUAUAUUGACCGGUGUCCUCCACCCACUCCAUCAAUCAUAGACAGUACUAGCUCAAGGUCUUCUACUGCUACUAUCAUUCAAACCAGGAGAGAGACUGAAGAAGGUACAUUUAGAUCUGAUAUUGCUCACAGAGUAAUGACAGAAUGUACUUCUCUAAUAAAAGAUUGUGGGACUGAUAUUCACUUCUUAGUUGAUAAAUUGCUUCAAUACAAAAUUGUAAAUGUUAGAGAAAAAAGAAGAAUAGUUGCACAAGAAAGUGACGCUGAAAGAAUGGAUGAAUUGCUUCUCAUCAUUUUGAGUUCCAUUUGUAUGGAUGGAAAAGUAUUUGGUAUAUUGUUAGAUAUACUCAGAGAGGAAGAUACUCUAAGAACAAUUAAACUAGCUAAUGAGUUAAUACAAAAAUAUGAUUUUCUUACAACAGACUAAAAAGUAUUUCUAAUAAUGUAUAUAUUUGAUUAAAAGUACUUCAAUUAUUGAAAUGACUAUA